This 1940-nucleotide ribosomal RNA is filed under the name Staphylococcus aureus. RNAcentral describes it as "partial 23S ribosomal RNA". It matches the Rfam family "Bacterial large subunit ribosomal RNA", at positions 12 to 1950 of the family's 2925-position model. Lineage: Bacteria; Bacillati; Bacillota; Bacilli; Caryophanales; Staphylococcaceae. The record is from RNAcentral.
UAAGGGCGCACGGUGGAUGCCUUGGCACUAGAAGCCGAUGAAGGACGUUACUAACGACGAUAUGCUUUGGGGAGCUGUAAGUAAGCUUUGAUCCAGAGAUUUCCGAAUGGGGAAACCCAGCAUGAGUUAUGUCAUGUUAUCGAUAUGUGAAUACAUAGCAUAUCAGAAGGCACACCCGGAGAACUGAAACAUCUUAGUACCCGGAGGAAGAGAAAGAAAAUUCGAUUCCCUUAGUAGCGGCGAGCGAAACGGGAAGAGCCCAAACCAACAAGCUUGCUUGUUGGGGUUGUAGGACACUCUAUACGGAGUUACAAAGGACGACAUUAGACGAAUCAUCUGGAAAGAUGAAUCAAAGAAGGUAAUAAUCCUGUAGUCGAAAAUGUUGUCUCUCUUGAGUGGAUCCUGAGUACGACGGAGCACGUGAAAUUCCGUCGGAAUCUGGGAGGACCAUCUCCUAAGGCUAAAUACUCUCUAGUGACCGAUAGUGAACCAGUACCGUGAGGGAAAGGUGAAAAGCACCCCGGAAGGGGAGUGAAAUAGAACCUGAAACCGUGUGCUUACAAGUAGUCAGAGCCCGUUAAUGGGUGAUGGCGUGCCUUUUGUAGAAUGAACCGGCGAGUUACGAUUUGAUGCAAGGUUAAGCAGUAAAUGUGGAGCCGUAGCGAAAGCGAGUCUGAAUAGGGCGUUUAGUAUUUGGUCGUAGACCCGAAACCAGGUGAUCUACCCUUGGUCAGGUUGAAGUUCAGGUAACACUGAAUGGAGGACCGAACCGACUUACGUUGAAAAGUGAGCGGAUGAACUGAGGGUAGCGGAGAAAUUCCAAUCGAACCUGGAGAUAGCUGGUUCUCUCCGAAAUAGCUUUAGGGCUAGCCUCAAGUGAUGAUUAUUGGAGGUAGAGCACUGUUUGGACGAGGGGCCCCUCUCGGGUUACCGAAUUCAGACAAACUCCGAAUGCCAAUUAAUUUAACUUGGGAGUCAGAACAUGGGUGAUAAGGUCCGUGUUCGAAAGGGAAACAGCCCAGACCACCAGCUAAGGUCCCAAAAUAUAUGUUAAGUGGAAAAGGAUGUGGCGUUGCCCAGACAACUAGGAUGUUGGCUUAGAAGCAGCCAUCAUUUAAAGAGUGCGUAAUAGCUCACUAGUCGAGUGACACUGCGCCGAAAAUGUACCGGGGCUAAACAUAUUACCGAAGCUGUGGAUUGUCCUUUGGACAAUGGUAGGAGAGCGUUCUAAGGGCGUUGAAGCAUGAUCGUAAGGACAUGUGGAGCGCUUAGAAGUGAGAAUGCCGGUGUGAGUAGCGAAAGACGGGUGAGAAUCCCGUCCACCGAUUGACUAAGGUUUCCAGAGGAAGGCUCGUCCGCUCUGGGUUAGUCGGGUCCUAAGCUGAGGCCGACAGGCGUAGGCGAUGGAUAACAGGUUGAUAUUCCUGUACCACCUAUAAUCGUUUUAAUCGAUGGGGGGACGCAGUAGGAUAGGCGAAGCGUGCGAUUGGAUUGCACGUCUAAGCAGUAAGGCUGAGUAUUAGGCAAAUCCGGUACUCGUUAAGGCUGAGCUGUGAUGGGGAGGAGACAUUGUGUCUUCGAGUCGUUGAUUUCACACUGCCGAGAAAAGCCUCUAGAUAGAAAAUAGGUGCCCGUACCGCAAACCGACACAGGUAGUCAAGAUGAGAAUUCUAAGGUGAGCGAGCGAACUCUCGUUAAGGAACUCGGCAAAAUGACCCCGUAACUUCGGGAGAAGGGGUGCUCUUUAGGGUUAACGCCCAGAAGAGCCGCAGUGAAUAGGCCCAAGCGACUGUUUAUCAAAAACACAGGUCUCUGCUAAACCGUAAGGUGAUGUAUAGGGGCUGACGCCUGCCCGGUGCUGGAAGGUUAAGAGGAGUGGUUAGCUUCUGCGAAGCUACGAAUCGAAGCCCCAGUAAACGGCGGCCGUAACUAUAACGGUC